RNAcentral lists this unclassified non-coding RNA (300 nucleotides) under Hevea brasiliensis (rubber tree). The record is from RNAcentral. Lineage: Eukaryota; Viridiplantae; Streptophyta; Magnoliopsida; Malpighiales; Euphorbiaceae.
AAUUGAAGGACUAGCAAAGAGUCAAAAUACACCUACUUGCUAACUCAGCCAAUUUCAUCUCUCAUGCAAUGAUAAUUGAUGAAUUGUCAAACAGUAAGAGUAGACUCCGAAGGGUUAUGACUUGCAUAAAAUAUCCUUCACCCUGUUACAUUUUCUCUUAGGAAUGGGAGAACUGCAAUUAGUGAUCCCUCUUGCUAUGCUAGCAGAAAAUCCAACAGGCUUGUGGAGUUAUAGGUCUCUAUCUUUCUAUGCUGGCUGGGGAAGUAUCAGUUAUUGUAAACCGUAGAGUCUAAAGGCCAU